UAAGAGGCCAUGUGAGCUUUUGCCAUCCCUUGGCAUUAAUUGUUGAAUCAUCCAUUAAUGUCUGGUGUACACUUUUUCAUAGAUCUUCUCUUCUGAAACUACUGUAAUUAAUUAAUUUUAACCAAACUUUGGCUAAAUGAUCCUUAGGGUAUCUAGUAUAUAUUUUGUAAUUUUUAGCUCAGUGAGGCCCGAAGGGCCCGAUGUGAGCUUACGCCAUCACUUGGCGUCCUAUGUCGUCUGUCGUCGUAAACUAUUUAAAAAAUCUUCUCCUCUGAAACUACUGGGCCAAAUACAUGUACCUUCAAACUUUAACUAAAUGUUCCUAAGGGUAUCUAGUUUAUAAAUUGUAUCCGAAGUUUUGAUCCAUUGACAAACAUGGACGCCAUGGCUAAAAAUAGAACAUACUGGUCAAAUGCAGUUUUGUUAAUUGGCCCCUUAAGGAGUUAUUGCCCUUUAAAGUCAAUUUUACACAAUUUGUUGAUCAAGUUUGCUAAUUAUAUAUAACAUUUAAAAAUCUUCUCUGAAAUACAGAUGAGCGAUUCAGGCUCUUGAGAGUCUCUUGUUAUCUUGUCCUUUAAUUAAGAAACACUGCAUAGUUUGGUAAAAAACAAUAACUUUAAUAUUUAACGUAGCAUUUCAAGAUUAAUCUGCCUUUAAAAUUAAGACCAAUCUUGAAAACCCUUGGCUAUUUGAAGUUAUUGCUCCUGCAAUAGCAAGUUCCCACAAUUUAUACAUGUUAUAUAUAUAUGUUCUUGUUAACAAUGAUUGUCAUAUUGAAAACAAUUAUAGAUAUCAUAAAGAUAAAUUUAAAACAGCAAAAUAGUAGUGUGGAUCCUUAUAUGAGUUAUUGCCCUUGAAAGACAAAAUUUUAGCAGAAUUUCAAGUUUCAUGCAGGAAGUAUGAUAGAUGUAGAGACAUUUAUUUAUGUUCAGCUAAGUUAAAGAUCUGCGAAUAAGCUUACAUCAUGACCAAAAUAGUUAAUUGAUCCUUUAUAGGAUUUUUUGUCCUUAAGAAAUUAUUUUACCAAAAGUUAUGUUUUUUUGCAGAUAAUAAUAGAAAGAAGGAAUUUUAAUUUUUUUUUAAGUGAUAAAUAUGUUCAGCAAAGUAAGAUCUGGGAAUAGGACUUGUAUUAUUUAAAUUGCCAAUUGAUCCUUCAAAGCUGUUAUUGCCCUUGAAAGAAUAUAUAUUACCAAAUAUUUUUUUCUUCGGUUUUUUGAUUUUUGAUUUUUUUUUUAUGGAAGUAUUAUAUUUCAUUUUUCAUUUUUCUUCCAAUGGGUCGAAUAUAGAAAAGCAGAAAUUUAAGUAGCCCACACCAAUUAUAGGGGCCAUUGGCGAUUGGGCCCCUGCUAAUUUAAGUUUUUCAUAGUAAAGAAGUGUCUUCAUCAGAAUUACAGUUUACAUGUGUUGUUUACAUUAAUGUCAUUAAUUAGUUCUGCACAGUUAAAUUCUUUAUAGCUGUUUAACUAAUUCACCAAUGUUUCUAUAUCUUUUGAAUCCUAUUGAUAGGUUUUUAUUGAAUUUGUCACCUAUUGUAGAAUCUAUUUUGAUAAGAUUCCAGUAUUUCCUGAAUAUUGUUUGAAGUUUUCUGCUUAAGAAUUCGAUUGAUUAUUCGUAAUGAAUGAUAUAUUUUAUCUAUUUUCAACUUUGUUCUUUUUCUAGACAUAAAUUCAUA
This 1672-nucleotide long non-coding RNA is filed under the name Mytilus galloprovincialis (Mediterranean mussel). The record is from RNAcentral. Lineage: Eukaryota; Metazoa; Mollusca; Bivalvia; Mytilida; Mytilidae.